UCGUAACAAGGUCUCCGUUGGUGAACCAGCGGAGGGAUCAUUACCGAGUUUACAACUCCCAAACCCCUGUGAACAUACCAAUUGUUGCCUCGGCGGAUCAGCCCGCUCCCGGUAAAACGGGACGGCCCGCCAGAGGACCCCUAAACUCUGUUUCUAUAUGUAACUUCUGAGUAAAACCAUAAAUAAAUCAAAACUUUCAACAACGGAUCUCUUGGUUCUGGCAUCGAUGAAGAACGCAGCAAAAUGCGAUAAGUAAUGUGAAUUGCAGAAUUCAGUGAAUCAUCGAAUCUUUGAACGCACAUUGCGCCCGCCAGUAUUCUGGCGGGCAUGCCUGUUCGAGCGUCAUUUCAACCCUCAAGCCCAGCUUGGUGUUGGGACUCGCGAGUCAAAUCGCGUUCCCCAAAUUGAUUGGCGGUCACGUCGAGCUUCCAUAGCGUAGUAGUAAAACCCUCGUUACUGGUAAUCGUCGCGGCCACGCCGUUAAACCCCAACUUCUGAAUGUUGACCUCGGAUCAGGUAGGAAUACCCGCUGAACUUAAGCAUAUCA
This 547-nucleotide ribosomal RNA is filed under the name fungal endophyte. RNAcentral describes it as "eukaryotic LSU rRNA". The stretch from base 192 to 345 matches the Rfam family "5.8S ribosomal RNA". The record is from RNAcentral. RNAcentral also lists the same sequence under 1 other name. Lineage: Eukaryota; Fungi.